AAUCAACGCUGGCGGCGUGCCUCAGACAUGCAAGUCGAACGCGAAAGUUUCCUUCGGGGAGCGAGUAGAGUGGCGCACGGGUGAGUAACACGUAGGUAAUCUACCUUCGGAUGGGGAAUAACAAUCGGAAACGGUUGCUAAUACCGCAUAAUGCAGCGGCACCUAAUGGUGACAGUUGUUAAAGCGGGGGAUCGUAAGACCUCGCGUCUGAAGAGGAGCCUGCGGCGGAUUAGCUUGUUGGUAAGGUAAUGGCUUACCAAGGCGACGAUCCGUAACCGGCCUGAGAGGGCGGUCGGGUCACACUGACACUGACAUACGGGUCAGACUCCUACGGGAGGCAGCAGUCGGGAAUUUUGGGCAAUGGGCGAAAGCCUGACCCAGCAACGCCGCGU
Molecule: ribosomal RNA, 392 nt
Filed under: uncultured bacterium
Lineage: Bacteria
Description: bacterial SSU rRNA
Rfam family: Bacterial small subunit ribosomal RNA
Source: RNAcentral